UUAMCCCSSUKGACUUAAGCAUAUCAAUAACGGAGGAAAAGAAACCAACCGGGAUUGCCUUAGUAACGGCGAGUGAAGCGGCAAAAGCUCAAAUUUGAAAUCUGGUACUUCGGUGCCCGAGUUGUAAUUUGUAGAAGGUAACUUUGGGGCUGGUCCUUGUCUAUGUUCCUUGGAACAGGACGUCAUAGAGGGUGAGAAUCCCGUGUGGCGAGGAUCCCAGUUCUUUGUAAAGUGCUUUCGAAGAGUCGAGUUGUUUGGGAAUGCAGCUCUAAGUGGGUGGUAAAUUCCAUCUAAAGCUAAAUAUUGGCGAGAGACCGAUAGCGAACAAGUACAGUGAUGGAAAGAUGAAAAGAACUUUGAAAAGAGAGUGAAAAAGUACGUGAAAUUGUUGAAAGGGAAGGGCAUUUGAUCAGACAUGGUGUUUUGCGCCCUCUGCUCCUUGUGGGUGGGGGAAUCUCGCAGCUCACUGGGCCAGCAUCAGUUUUGGCGGCAGGAUAAAUCUGCAGGAAUGUAGCUUGCCUCGGUAAGUGUUAUAUCCUGUAGAAAUACUGCCAGCUGGGACUGAGGACUGCGACUUACGUCAAGGAKCUGUCAUUASRUCYKKKSCAU
Molecule: ribosomal RNA, 609 nt
Filed under: Torulaspora delbrueckii
Lineage: Eukaryota; Fungi; Ascomycota; Saccharomycetes; Saccharomycetales; Saccharomycetaceae
Description: eukaryotic LSU rRNA
Rfam family: Eukaryotic large subunit ribosomal RNA
Source: RNAcentral